AGACUUUCUUUGGAAAGCUAGCACACUUUUAUCAGCAAGGUCACACCAGGAAUUUUAGGAGGACAAGUAAAAAAUGACUUCCUCAAGCAAAAGGGAUCCUUUUAGGUCAUCGGAAUGAAUUGUUUGAAAGCUUCAAAGCAGCCUUGCUUCUCAUUACUGGAGCCUGCCUUUACAAGAAAUGCCUUUUUUCAAUUAUUUUCACUUUUCAUUAGAAGUCUUUGCAGUUGUUGCUCACCUCAUUAAAUCCACUAAGAUGCUAUGUGUUUAAUUUCCAUGUUAUAUAAUUUGUAGCAAAUUGUUUGACGCGAAACCUCGCUUUCGGAGCCUGUGAUUUGGGAAGGUUUCCCCUGCCCUUCCCCCAGUCUCGCCAGUUCACCUUUUUGAGGAUGGAACAAAUUAAGAUAAUGAUGCAGGGGCUCAUCUCCUUUGGUGGCAUAGUAACCCCAAGACCAGCAGUAUCUUCUUAGGACGCACUCCAGCAGGUUCCUAAAUAGAUUUCUAAGCAGUGGGCUAGGAGGAGAGAGACAAGAAGACUCAGAUGAGAACAAACAGGCACAUUUCAAAAUAGAAAAAAAGCCUGAAAAAUUGGUCGACUCUACAUUGUUGAAACAUCAUGAGAAAGAAAAUUAUUGCUUGAAAGCAAUUUCCUCCUGGAAUCUAUCCCCUGCAGAUUUGUUUUAAGGAAGCUUCUGGAUUAGCUGCCAAAGACUGUGAGGUCUUUCUGUCUUAACGUCUUAAAAAAAAAAAUUAUUUGAAGUACUGUAAACCAACAUGAAUAAAAUGAUAUGGGAUCGAGAAAUAAUUUGUGUUCAUAAAUGGAAAACAAUCCAGUGUACGAGUUGCACUGAAAUAAGCAGUAUGAAACAGUGAAAGGCUGCCUUUUUAAAUACCACACUUUAAAAACCCCUCACUACUUUUCAUUUUAUUCCGAGUACUUAUUUGAGACUGAAUUUUGAUGGAAAAUAUUUUAAACUGAACGAGCUCUUAAGCAAUUAAUGAUUACAAUUCUAGUAGAAGUGACAUGAUAUAACCCCACAAAUAUACCACAAGAGCCGUGCCAGUGACUGCUUAGUAUUUGUGGUGGCGGACGAAUGGGAGUGUGGUUCUGGCUCAUUCCAGAACAAGCAAUUACGAUGGUCAAUCACACUAAAUUGCAUGCAGUACACCGCUGGUGUAAGAAUAAAGGCAAACACAUUUUCUCUUUUGCGAUAUUUUUACUUUUGUUUGGCUUUGAGCAUAUUUAUACUAAUUAUUUAAGUACUUAACACAAUUUAGACAAAAUAAAUGAACCAGAAAAACUGCCAUUUGCCCGUAUUCGUCGCGCAUGAGAUUGACUGACAUCGGUCACUGUCUCAAUGUCCCAGGGCACAAGCAGAUGUAAAAUCUGAUUUUAAAAGUCUCCCAAACUAGAUGAUUGCAUAUUUUAGCAUAUAGAAGAUCUGAUUAUUGUGUAUUACUUCUUUUGCAGGGUAAUUGACAUUAGUAUGCAAGCAACCCUGAGUGCAUCCUUAUGCUUCUCUUCUAUCUUUCUGUGUCUAUACUUCACUGACUUGUCGCCAUUCUCACACGUAAAGCUCUAUAUACAUCUUAGCUGGAAAUUAAAAUCAGCAAACCUAAGGGGAUCCCAAAUGGCUCAGUUCCAUUAGCAUGCUACUCUCAGUUUUGGCUCCGGUCACGUUCUCAGGGUUGUGAGAUCGAGCCCUGC
This is a long non-coding RNA of Canis lupus familiaris (dog), 1705 nucleotides long. RefSeq lists it as uncharacterized. NCBI's taxonomy places the organism in Eukaryota, Metazoa, Chordata, Mammalia, Carnivora, Canidae. The record is from RefSeq and is a predicted model, not a curated record. The transcript has 3 exons.